CCCUUAGAUGUCCUGGGCCGCACGCGCGCUACACUGAGUGUCUGAGAUACGAGUCUGCCCGGUCCGGCAAGGUCUAGGUAAUCGCUAAAAGACACAUCAUGCUUGGGAUAGAUUAUUGCAAAUAUUAAUCUUGAACGAGGAAUUCCUAGUAAGCGCAAGUCAACAGCUUGCGUUGAUUACGUCCCUGCCCUUUGUACACACCGCCCGUCGCUACUACUGAUUGGAUGUUUAAGCGAGGUUCUCGAACUGCUAGCGACUUAGCUUCGGUGAGGUCGCAGUGUGGGAAGUGAACCGAGCUUUGGUGUCUAGAGGAAGUAAAAGUCGUAACA
RNAcentral lists this ribosomal RNA (329 nucleotides) under uncultured eukaryote. Its description in RNAcentral is "partial 18S ribosomal RNA". It matches the Rfam family "Eukaryotic small subunit ribosomal RNA", at positions 1470 to 1796 of the family's 1831-position model. The record is from RNAcentral.